Podarcis lilfordi (Lilford's wall lizard) is the source of this 1690-nucleotide non-coding RNA. The record is from the annotation of a GenBank genome assembly. Lineage: Eukaryota; Metazoa; Chordata; Lepidosauria; Squamata; Lacertidae.
GGCAGUUGGAGGCAGUUGGAGGCCAUCUGCCACACUUUCCAAUUUGCCACCUGAACCACGUGGCUCAUCGUGGCUCGUGAUAGGGCUGGCCCUGGUUUGGAGCCAAAAGAGACUUGAGUAGCAGAAGCUUUGGAGGCAACAGUGACGAAAGGAGGCAUGCCAGAGCUAUUUUGUAUUCAACUGGUAGGACCUGAUGAGAAUGCUCUGUGUUCUCUUGAGCCUCUGCCCAUGAGGCUUAGGGAGAAUUUAGAGGCUCAGUAAAGGAACAUUAUCAUCUUCUUUUAUGAAAUAUGAGAUUUCACACACAGCUCCAAGGUAGGUUUCCUCUGUGUGCAGCUUGGGCUCUGCCCGUAUGUGUCUCAUGCCCUGACAGCCACAAGGCUGGAUUUAUUGCGUUCAAUGUCCUGCUUCCCAUUUGCCUGUAGCUUCUUCAGACUGGAGCAGAACCACUGCCUGCUGAUCCAGGCAACGGUGGUUGUAUUACAUUCACUCUGUAUCCUUUACACAGGUUGCUUCCAGAGUGGCAUCCUGAACACAACAUAGUACUCACUGGGUUCUAAACUCCUGAACAAUAUCAGUGCUUGCUGUAAUCAUGACUCACCCUUGAAAUAUUGGCCUAGUGCAUCACCGCUGUCUGUAAUUGGAAUGCCCUGCCAUCACACCUGCAGCUGCAGGCACCCAGGUUCUGCUGUUGCAUGCGUCAGUGCAGAGCUUGCUAGUUAUAUGUCUCUGGGCUGAUUGAAACGGCAAUUUGAAAUGUCAUCACUUGGGCUCCUAGUCUCCAACGUAGGAUUAAGGUCCAUUGAACUCAGGGACAGGGCCUUUUCAGUGAUGGCUCCGACCUGGUGGAAUGCUCUGUCCCAUGAGACUAGGGCCCUUCAGGAUUUAACCUCCUUCUGUCGGGCCUGUAAGACAGAGCUAUUCCACCUGGCCUUUAAUUUGAAUUCAGCCUGAUCUUUUAUUUCUCUUCCCUCUCCCUCCCCUUUUAUGAAGAUUACCCGCCCUGAGACCCCAUAGCUAAUUCUCCCCUGGCCUCCUCGCUCGCCCAGGUAGGACUAAUUCAGCCAGCUAGCCCUGGUGACUAUCUAAUGCUUAUUGGAUGGAUUUCCCCUAAAUUGAUUUUUGAACUUUGAAUUUUAUUGUUAUUCAUGUUUUCAUACUGUAUUUUAUGCUGCUUUUACAAUUAAGUGCUUUAAAUUUGUUGUUAGCCACCCUGAGCCCGAUUUUUGAACCAGGAAGGGCGGGCUAUAAACAAAUUAUUAUUAUUAUUAUUAUUAUUAUUAUUAUUAUUAUUAUUAUUGAACUUGCAUCUGAGCAGAAACUCAUAGGAUCGUGCUGUUAAUGCCUUGGGGUUUGCAUGGCUGGCAUGCUUCCACUGAAGUGCAUCGCAUCUGAGGUGACAUACAAUUAUGCAAAAGUUCUAUUCAUAGCAUUUUGAUCUGUGUUGCCGCACAAAUGCGUUUCAUGCACGCAGGUCAUCAAUUUGAUGUUGCAACUGUCAAAUAAUUAACUUGCACAAGUGAAAAGUUCCCUCCUGCCUCUCUUCGGCUGUCAAUAUUUCUUUUGCAAUGUUAUAGGAAAAACAGAAAGAAGCACAGAGCUCCUUCCUGAUUUUGGGUUUUCUGAUGCUGUUCAUACAAGAAACAAUGGUUAUUGCCUGUUUUGCUUUGGAAAACAAAACCCCCUUCAC